This 1418-nucleotide ribosomal RNA is filed under the name wastewater metagenome. RNAcentral describes it as "bacterial LSU rRNA". It matches the Rfam family "Bacterial large subunit ribosomal RNA", at positions 1351 to 2600 of the family's 2925-position model. The record is from RNAcentral.
UUUCCUGAGCCAUGGUAAUCAUCUCAGGGUUAGUCGGGCCUAAGCCGAGGCGCAUAGCGUAGGCGAUGGACAUCAGGUUAAUAUUCCUGAACCGGCGUAGUUUGUACACUGUUCACGGCGAGAUAUUCGGAGCGGAUUCAUGGUAUGUAUCCGUCCAACCUAGGGGGAACCCGAUGGGAGUGAAAGUUAGUCUUCGGACUGACGAUUCUGGAAAAGGCACUGGCUAGAAAAGCAGGUGUACGCGUGACUAUGUCCGCCCGUACCGCAAACCAACACAGGUGCUCGAGUCGAGUAGACUCAGGCUUACGAGAGACCCUUCGCUAAGGAACUCGGCAAUACAGCGACCGUAACUUCGGGAUAAGGUCUGCCCCCUCUUCUUUGAAGAGGAAGUUGUCAGAGUACACUCAGCAAGAAGAGUGGAAACAAGGUUAAAGUGCGUGAGUAACUAACACGCAUGAGUACGCUCUUAUUCUUCGGAAUAAUGAGUCGAAAAAUCCUUUUAUUAAACCAUAUAGAUUUUUUCUGAGAUAAGUAACAUGAAUUAAUGUUCUUUUGUACUCUGGUCUAUCUUCGUCUUUACAGAUGAGGGGGCCGCAGCAAAAGAGCCCACGGAACUGUUUAUCAAAAACACAGGUCUCUGCUAACACGAAAGUGGAUGUAUAGGGGCUGACUCCUGCCCAGUGCUGGAAGGUUAAGGGGAGUGCUUCACGGUGCGAACUGAAGCCCCAGUGAACGGCGGCGGUAACUAUAACCGUCCUAAGGUAGCGAAAUUCCUUGUCAGGUAAGUUCUGACCCGCACGAAUGGAGUAAUCAUGUGGGCACUGUCUCAGCGAAGGCCUCGGUGAAAGUGCAUUGGCGGUAAAGAUGCCGUCUGUCCGUACCAGGACGAGAAGACCCCAUGGAGCUUUACUACAGCUUUACAUUGAUCCGGGUUACAACAUGUGUAGCAUAGCUGGGAGGCUUUGAAGCAGAUACGCUAGUAUUUGUGGAGCCACAGGUGAAAUACCAGCCUUGUUGUGAUCUUGAUCUCACUUGGACCGUUAUCCGGUUCGAGGACCGUGUAUGGUGGGUAGUUUAACUGGGGCGGUUGCCUCCUAAAGAGUAGCGGAGGCGUUCAAAGGUUGGCUAACUACGGAUGGAAAUCGUAGUGAUAGUGCAUACGCAUAAGCCAGCUUGACUGUGAGGAGUACAUUCCGAUCAGACACGAAAGUGGGAGUAAGUGAACCGCUAGACGUACAUUUGUACAUGAAUGUGGGAUCGCUAGCGUAGACGGAUAAAAGUUACCCCGGGGAUAACAGGCUUAUCGCGCCCAAUAGUUCACAUAGACGGCGCGGUUUGGCACCUCGAUGUCGGCUCAUCACAUCCUGGGGCUGGAGCAGGUCCCAAGGGUUCGGCUGUUCGCCGAUUAAAGUGGUACG